This 73-nucleotide transfer RNA is filed under the name Canis lupus familiaris (dog). It matches the Rfam family "tRNA". From Rfam's summary of the family: Transfer RNA (tRNA) molecules are approximately 80 nucleotides in length. Their secondary structure includes four short double-helical elements and three loops (D, anti-codon, and T loops). The record is from Rfam by way of RNAcentral. RNAcentral also lists the same sequence under 3 other names. Lineage: Eukaryota; Metazoa; Chordata; Mammalia; Carnivora; Canidae.
GCCUGGGUGGUUCAGCUGAUAGAGCGUGAGACUCUUGAUCUCAAGGUUAUGGGCUUGAGCCCCACAUUGGGUG